UCCUUUUUUGUUUACUGUGCAGGCCUGGCAGGAUGCUGGACUUGGGCUGUCCACCACUAGCAACGAAGCCUGUAAACUGUUUGAUGCUGCGCUAAGCCAGUAUGCGACGUGGCGCAACGAUGAGAAUCUAGGAGGUAUUGAAGGGUGUCUUUCCAAG
This is a non-coding RNA of Meleagris gallopavo (turkey), 157 nucleotides long. NCBI's taxonomy places the organism in Eukaryota, Metazoa, Chordata, Aves, Galliformes, Phasianidae. The record is from RefSeq and is a predicted model, not a curated record.